Long non-coding RNA from Papilio xuthus (Asian swallowtail), 470 nucleotides. RefSeq lists it as uncharacterized. Lineage: Eukaryota; Metazoa; Arthropoda; Insecta; Lepidoptera; Papilionidae. The transcript is spliced from 3 exons. The record is from RefSeq and is a predicted model, not a curated record.
AACAAUGAAAUCUCUACAGACCUUAAAGUGUUAUUUGGUGAAUAUACAGAUUUAUUAAUAUUAGAGGAUGUUGUAACGUCACUGUUGAUGUUAGAAGUUAAUGCAAAAAGAGGCGUCACCCUUUGCAGUAACAAAAUAUAAUCGGCGCGUCCAGCCGAGCGUCAGAAUGAUAUCCGACAAGAAAAUGAAACAAUUUUGAAAGAUGGUGCGACCAUUAGCGGCGAGAGUUUAAUCAAGAAAAACAUCGAUCAGUGUCCAUCUGAGUAUGAAACUGCUCAAAUUGGGUUCACAGAAAAAAUCAUAUUCUAGUUUCACGGUUGACCUGAAGCCUCGCGGCGCCUCGCCUUCUGCUCAAUGACAUCGGAACGUUCAUACAUCUGAGAGAGUGCAUUUUGUUUACAUUAACAGCGCAAUAUUUAGUUUUGCCAUUGCUACUAACUUGCAAAUUUAAAAAUAUAAAUGUAAAUCUU